GCCCCUGUGGCGCAACGGUCAGCGCGCUCCCGUGUUUCGGGAGAGGACCUCGGUUCAAAUUCGAGCAGAAGUA
This 73-nucleotide transfer RNA is filed under the name Clonostachys rosea. The record is from RNAcentral. Lineage: Eukaryota; Fungi; Ascomycota; Sordariomycetes; Hypocreales; Bionectriaceae.